Molecule: long non-coding RNA, 609 nt
Filed under: Anas platyrhynchos platyrhynchos (common mallard)
Lineage: Eukaryota; Metazoa; Chordata; Aves; Anseriformes; Anatidae
Description: lncRNA (ENSAPLG00000029217.1)
Source: RNAcentral
CCUAUAUCCAUGACCCGUGACCCUAUAUCCAUGACCCUACAGCCCAAUGACCCCAUGGCGCCAUGACCCUAUAUCCCAAUGACCCUAUGACCCUACAGCCCAAUGGCCCCAUGACCCUAUAUCCAUGGCCCUACAGCCCCAUGGCCCCAUGGCCCUAUAUCCCAAUGACCCCAUGACCCUACAGCCCCAUGGCCCUAUAACCCAAUGGCCCCAUGACCCCAUGGCCCUACAGCCCCAUGGCCUCCAUAUCCCAAUGACGCAAUGACCCCAUGGCCCUAUAUCCCAACGACCCCAUGACCCUAUAUCCAUGGUCCUACAGCCCCAUGGCCCGACAGCCCCACGGCCCCGUGUCCUGAUGACCCCAUGAGUUGCGCACGUGCACGUCCUGCGGCAGCGCCUGCCCCUCCUUCGUCCACGUCACCCGCGGACGGGGCUUCCCCUGGGGGGGUCCACAGCGCCUCAGCACCCCAAAAGGGCCCAAGGCACCGCGGCCCUAUAGCCAUGGCCCUACAGCCCCGUGGCACCGUGACCCUACAGCCCCGUGACCCUAUAUCCAUGACCCGUGACCCUAUAUCCAUGGCCCUACAGCCCCACGGCCCCGUGUCCUGA